GACAGAGGGUGCAAACGUUGUUCGGAAUUACUGGGCGUAAAGCGCAUGUAGGCGGUUCGUCAAGUCAGAUGUGAAAGCCCUGGGCUUAACCCAGGAAGUGCAUUUGAAACUCACGAACUUGAGUCCCGGAGAGGAAGGUGGAAUGCUUGGUGUAGAGGUGAAAUUCGUAGAUAUCAAGCGGAACACCGGUGGCGAAGGCGGCCUUCUGGACAGUGACUGACGCUGAGACACGAAAGCGUGGGGAGCAAACAGG
RNAcentral lists this ribosomal RNA (253 nucleotides) under uncultured bacterium. RNAcentral's name for it is "partial 16S ribosomal RNA". It matches the Rfam family "Bacterial small subunit ribosomal RNA", at positions 524 to 776 of the family's 1533-position model. The record is from RNAcentral.